This 253-nucleotide ribosomal RNA is filed under the name uncultured bacterium. Its description in RNAcentral is "partial 16S ribosomal RNA". It matches the Rfam family "Bacterial small subunit ribosomal RNA", at positions 524 to 776 of the family's 1533-position model. The record is from RNAcentral.
UACGUAGGGUGCGAGCGUUGUCCGGAUUUAUUGGGCGUAAAGAGCUCGUAGGCGGCUUGUCGCGUCGGAUGUGAAAGCCCGGGGCUCAACUCCGGAACUGCCUUUAAGACUGCAUCGCUAGAAUUGUGGAGAGGUAAGUGGAAUUCCGAGUGUAGAGGUGAAAUUCGUAGAUAUUCGGAAGAACACCAGUGGCGAAGGCGACUUACUGGACACAUAUUGACGCUGAGGUGCGAAAGCGUGGGGAGCAAACAGG